Molecule: long non-coding RNA, 5402 nt
Organism: Megalobrama amblycephala (Wuchang bream)
Lineage: Eukaryota; Metazoa; Chordata; Actinopteri; Cypriniformes; Xenocyprididae
Exons: 13
Source: RefSeq, a predicted model, not a curated record
AUGCUUGCUAACAAGUUGCUAAAUGGGACCCAGAGCUUAUUUUCUGCACAACAGGUGAAGAGAAACUUUUUGUCAAACUAUUGAUAAAAUCUUAAAACAAGAGACUGUUCUACAUGGCUAUAUACAUUUCCUUAACAAGUGUGUGGAGGAUCAGUUAGGACGGGAUAAAGAUUAUGAAUACUAUAAGACUAUACUUUCAGUUAUUUGCUAGUAUAGCUUGUAGAACUACAGAACAGAACUUAGAAACUUUAAUUCUGAACUUCAUGAAAGCAAUGAAUUCAGUCCCACGUUGACAUCCUAUGGCACCCGAUGUAAUAGGACGUUUGACAGGCAGGUUUCAAUUAGCGUGACUGCAAGUCUUGUAUCUUUUAAUAGGAAAUCCGCCGCUGCUGUGAGGAGAAAGCUUCAAUGCUCUCUGCUGCAUCUUAAUAAAAAUAUGUAUAAAAAAGAGAAGAAGAACUGGGUUUCCACAGCAACUGGCACCUGAGUAACGGCGGAGACGUGCUUGAAGGCAUCAGGAGCAGCAAGCACUGAAGUGCUCUACAGAACAUCUUUGAUGCACUCACAAACUCUGGUCUCGCGUCAAGCGCUUAUACACCGCGUGCGAUUCGACCUGACGGAAACAACCCAUGAAAUCUCAGAGUCUCCUCACCGAGGGGAACACGGCCGACAAUAGGCCCUAAUUAAAGCAUGCUGUGGGCUGACAGAGCCCAUUCUUCGCCACAGCGUCCCGUUUAAACUGGGCCUCCCUUCCUGUGCCAUCCACACCCACCUCACUUCACUAAUUUCAAGUGGAACCGUGAAGGCUUAAUGGAAGACCUCGGAUGACAGGAAGUCAACGCGACCUGGUUGUCAUUACUGUGCCAGACAGCAUGAAUAAACCAGCAAACCCAGCAGUGGCUGGCCUGUACUGCUCCUGGAACAGCUGGGACUACAGCCAUGAAUCAUGUCAUCCGGCCGGGCUUAUGAAAAGAGCUCUGCGUCUGUGUGCGCUUCUCAGACAGACAGAGAGAGCAGAGCGGGCGGUACUAAAUCAUACAGCUCAUCACUCCCAAUGCAUUUGCCCAGCAAGACACAUUCUGGAUUUAUGGGGUACCAAUGCUACUGGUCGCUCAUCUGAAUACACUGUUUAUCUAUUUUCACACUGACCGGGGCUGCGUUUUGCUAACCCAUUUCAUGAUGUUCAACCUCAGUUGCAGGCUUUUGAGAAUGAGACUAAAGACCUGGAACAUGUAUGAAAAUACCCAAUCUGGCCUGACUGACAAUAGUGCCCAUCUGGCCAUUCUAAAGGGCUGGGUGCCCUCUGAGGUGCAUGUCCACCAAGGUGCAGAGUAUAAACUCGGUCCGACGCUGUCAUGUAAGCCACACACCGUAUCCACCUUUCCCAGUCGGUCUCCAUCACUGAGUAUAUACGCAGUGUGCUGCUCCAGGUGGUCCACGGUCUGCCUCUUCGGCUUACCCAUGCUUAUUCAAGCUCGACGAGGCUCAAGAGGCUGAGACUCACUUUGCGUGGCCCCCCUGCCGUGGUGGAGGGGACAGCACUAAGCUGUGUUUUGGGCAGAGCAGAGAGGAUUGCAGUGAGAUGAAUGGUAAUAGAGGGAGAGACAAUGCAGCCACUCGCCUGUGACCGAGCACAACUGCUUCACAGUACUUCUCUCACCAGGAGAAUAGCAGGAGGGAGGGGGAGUGCGAAAGAAAGAGCGAGUGAAAAAGUGAAAGAGAGAUAUCGAGACCUUGCUCAUGGUUUGCCAUGCUGAGCAGUUCCCCCAGCUUGACCAGCAUCAAACCAGUCACAUAAAUGCCUGUCCAAGAUUGGGCACUUUAAGCCUUCAGAGAUGAAAGCAUGAGACUGCGGCCAGGCUAAACAAGUCAGUGCAUUAAUCAUCUGAAGUGAAGAGAAGAGAACAUUACACCACAAGACAUACUGCCAAGUGCCUUCGGUUUUGCAAAGGCCAUCAGAUUUCAUUCGGCUAAUCAGCAGCUGUGUUGGAGUUGGCAGGUGGUUAAACGGGUGACUAGGGGACUGGAUGGCUGGCUGCAGUGUCUCGGCGUCUCUCUCCCCCUGAGUCCAGGUCUCUGGCUGGAACACGGUGACCUAUAGCUGCUCUUGGCAGGGCCGUGGGGUUACCAGAAGGGCAGAACUGCACUCCGAGUCUGGCAUCUGGAGUCUGGGACAGUGAGAAAGAGAGAGCGAGAUCAGCCAAGUACGUUGACACUGAUGGCAUCAUAUGCACUCAUGCUGAAAGGUUCGAGAGGAGGUGAAGGCUGCUUGAGGAGGUCGAGUGAGGCUAACACAGGGAGAAGUGAAGCGAAAUGCUAACAGACACAGGCCACUGCUCUUCCCCUCUGGCAAGACAACUCUCCAUAACCCUACCCAGACACCACUGCAUCCCCCAUCACUACCAAACUGACAUGCCACCCUCAUCCGCGCCGAUUCUGUGUGGGCGUCCGAUCGUGUGUUAGUCGUUGUGAACACAGUGCACAAACCUUUACGGCCUUUGUCGCGGUAACCUUGCCCCUGCUCUGUCCCUGUAAAAUGGAAGAAAAGAGAAGAAAAUGCAAGGUGUUGAGUGGGAGGAUGUCAAAGAGAGAGAGUAAAAUGAAAGUGGGCGUGAAGAGUGUGCACUAUAAAAUAAAAUAAAAGAUGAGAGGAAGCGGUUAAUGACCAGCCGAUAAUAAAUAAAGUGCAUGUCAGAUUACCAGUAAAAAGAGGGAAAAGAUGAAGAGAGCGGAAGGGGGAGGAACAGGAAGAGAUGCAGUGUGACAAGGAAAAGGCAAGAGGCACUUUUCAUGGAUACAGUAAAACAUUAAAGCAUUAUAUGCACCACCUCAAGUAAUUGUAAAAUUACUUAAAAUUGGGAACACAUCCAGGAAGUGUCAUCAUUUGGACUUUUUCUACAGCAUCUAGCUAUAGCAUGUUGGGAAGGCAAUAUCUACUUUGUACCCUACUCAUGGAAGGUGCAAGAAAGAUCUGUUGAAUGUGCAAGUAGAAGAGACAAAAUGUGAGAGAGAAGGUCUGCCGAAUAAGGGAAGAUGAAUUACAGGAAUGUGCACGGUGGCGCGGCUCGUUUAGGAGCUGAUGUGUCGGGAAGCGGAGGAUGGGUGUUAAUAAGAAGCCUUAUGUGGCUUUCUACGAACUGAAAUGCUUCACAGGCCAUGGGAACAGAAGAGAGAGAGAGAGAGAGAGAAAAAGAGAAAGACAACACAACAUGAGCAAGGCUGCCUGAUCUCUGCUGAGUCAUUCAGGCGGUAGUUAAAAAGACAUGACAAACAUUCAAGUACACAGGAGAAACAUCUGAGGAGCUAUGAUCAGAAAUGUUUGAGAAUCCAUUUGGCAUCUCUGAGAACAGUUUCAGGAAAAAGAAUUGAGAUCUCAUUUGUGAUCAUUCUAUGAAGAAGUCUACAAGAUGCGGACCCUCAACACAGCUGAAGAAUUAGGUGAGCCAUUUGAGGUUUACUAAUGUAUAGCCAGUCCAUCUGUAACCUUCUGGCAAAUUCCUCUCAAAUUUACACUCAGAACAGCCGAGGUACAUGGUAAGCAUCUCUCUAACAUUAAACAUGUAAUUUUGAUCACCUGUGUACUCCCUGACUAAAGUGCAGAUUGACUGUGCCUAAAGUUUCACUCCUCCAAACACAAAAAUUCUCAUUCGAUAAGGUUCUAGAAAUAACAACAUACUACAGCAUGGACAAAGAAAGGUGUGAGAUCUGACAGGGAAUGGGACUCUCUAUCUUCCUCUAACCCCCCAUUUUUCUGUUCUUGUCUUUUCCUCUUGCUCUUGCUUUCAGGGAUGGGUGCUCCCUGAGGGCUUCGCCAGCCCUCCUUUCUCCUCACUCAUUUACACCACUGCACUGAUGCAUGUUGGAAUUGAUAACAUGGACUCCUUCUCUUAUCUUGUCUUACAGUAGUCUUUUGAGUAGGAGUCCUUUGUUACCGAACUGGUGCAGUGCAAAGAGAUGUCACAGGUCUGUAUGCGCUACCAGGAAGUUGAAAGUUCCAGCACCAUGCUAAGAAAAAUAAAUAGUACAAUACAGAGGGUUCAGUUGUUCUAACCUAAAAAUAUAAAAACUCCACUGUCAAAUCUCCAUUCUAUCAUUUAAUGUUUGACAGCCACUUGCAUGAUGAAAUUGAUUGAUAAUGUGUUGCUGAGUAUGUGCAUCUUAAAUCGUUAUUAUUCUGUAUUCAUCCAGUCCUCUUCUCUCAGUAUUUGUAGCAUAACAAUGUCUCUGUAACAACUCAAUAAUUAAUUCCGUUUGUCACAAACCAGUACAAGGUUGUUGCUGAGGGGACGGGUGUUGGUAAGUGCUGCCGUGGUGACGGUAAGAAGCAAUGCGUUACGUCGAUAGAUGGCCGAGAGAAACGGGAAGCGAUGGCCGGCUCCUGCAGACACUAGGAAUGCUUCAUGUCCCGGUGAUGAAUCGCAAAUAGAAGAUCAGGGUUUGCCACAUGAAAGUGAUUGGGAGGAGGGAAGGAGGGGGAAAGAGACACAAAGAGAGAAAGAGAGACUCCCUUUACACUCGCCGUGUCAGGCCUCAGUCUUUGACUUCGGUCGGGACUAAUGAUCGGUCUGAUAUGGGCAAGUAAUUGGUGUCUAGGGAUGUUAGACUACAUUGUUUUAUACAUAACAUAAUAGGCAGCUAGAAUGGACCAGUAUAGGGUGCAAUAUUUAGUCAGGAAGGCGAUGCACGCAUACCGUGAAAGGCAAUUAAAACUAAGGGAGUGACAUUUGGGUGAUGCACUGCCCAAUUACGGGGGCAGGCCUGGGCAAGCAAUUACAACCAUUUUGGCAGAAGCAUAUGUAGUCUUAUUCUCUGCUUAAGUUUGAUUAUGAAUUCACUUGUGUUUUGUAGGCAAAUAUGAAAAGUCAUGAACUAAUAUCUGAGGUUGCUGACUUUGUUAUUAUAUCUAAGUGCAGAGGUUAAAAUGGUUGUGGAGUCAGUUGACAGCUAUGUUCACAUAGUUCGGCCAAGACUCCUUAAAGGAAUAAUUCACCCAAAAAUGAACAUGAUCCCAUAAUUUACUCACCCUCAAGCCAUCCUAGAUGUAUAUACAGUAACUUGCUUCUUUCAGCCCAACACAGUUAUUUUAAAUAAUAUCCUAGCUCUUCCCAGCUUUGUAAUGGCAUUGUAUAGUUUUUGAAGCUCCAAAAAGUGCAUCCAUCCAUCAUAAAAGUAAUCUAUAUGACUCCAGUGGGAUAAUAAAUGCCUUCUGAAGCGAAGUGAUGGGUUUUUGUAAGAAAAAUAUCCAUAUUUAAAACUCUAUAAACUUUAUAAUCACUGGCUUCCGGCAAUGGGCGUACACGCGUUCACGAGAGAGUCAUAAGUGUUUUGGAAUUUCAACGGUUCACGUGACUUUGGCAGUUUGAUAUGCGAGCUGAACCACUGAUUCGAAACAAAAGAUUUGU